This 742-nucleotide ribosomal RNA is filed under the name uncultured bacterium. Its description in RNAcentral is "bacterial SSU rRNA". It matches the Rfam family "Bacterial small subunit ribosomal RNA", at positions 8 to 796 of the family's 1533-position model. The record is from RNAcentral.
AGAGUUUGAUCAUGGCUCAGAACGAACGCUGGCGGCAGGCUUAACACAUGCAAGUCGAGCGCUCAGCAAUGAGAGCGGCGCACGGGUGAGUAACACGUGGGAACGUGCCCUUUGGUUCGGAAUAACUCAGGGAAACUUGAGCUAAUACCGGAUAAGCCCUUACGGGGAAAGAUUUAUCGCCAUUGGAGCGGCCCGCGUCCGAUUAGCUAGUUGGUGAGGUAAAGGCUCACCAAGGCAACGAUCGGUAGCUGGUCUGAGAGGACGACCAGCCACACUGGGACUGAGACACGGCCCAGACUCCUACGGGAGGCAGCAGUGGGGAAUCUUGGACAAUGGGGGAAACCCUGAUCCAGCCAUGCCCGCGUGAGUGAUGAAGGCCCUAGGGUUGUAAAACUCUUUUCGGCGGGGACGAUAAUGACGGUACCCGCAGAAGAAGCUCCGGCUAACUUCGUGCCAGCAGCCGCGGUAAUACGAAGGGGGCUAGCGUUGUUCGGAAUUACUGGGCGUAAAGCGCGCGCAGGCGGUUCUUCAAGUCAGAGGUGAAAGCCCAGAGCUCAACUCUGGAAUGGCCUUUGAGACUAGAGAACUUGGGUACGGGAGAGGUGAGUGGAAUUCCGAGUGUAGAGGUGAAAUUCGUAGAUAUUCGGAAGAACACCAGUGGCGAAGGCGGCUCACUGGCCCGUUACCGACGCUCAGGCGCGACAGCGUGGGGAGCAAACAGGAUUAGAUACCCUAGUAGUCC